Molecule: long non-coding RNA, 1597 nt
Organism: Helianthus annuus (common sunflower)
Lineage: Eukaryota; Viridiplantae; Streptophyta; Magnoliopsida; Asterales; Asteraceae
Exons: 8
Source: RefSeq, a predicted model, not a curated record
UCAAUUAUCUUAAUGUUUUACAUAAGUAAAUCUUUUUUCUUGGGGGGGGGGGGGGAUUUAAUAUUUAAAUUGAUUUUCAUUUGUUGUUAUUGUUCUAAUGUUUUGAGAGGUUUAAGGUGAUGAUUUGAUUAUAAACAUGUGAGACUGAUAAACAUUUUGUAUACUAGACACAUUUUAAUCUAUCUACUACCUUUAGUUAUAUAUCAGUUCAUUAUGAUAUGUUAUUAUUUUGAUGAUUCCACAUGAUGAAAUUGAGAGAUUUGGUGACUAUGUAAUACGGGGUUGCUAAUUGAUAAAGCCACUUUGUAAACUUGACCUUAGGAAAUAUGUUUUUGUGUGUCCUGCCUUGUUCUAAUUCAGUUGUGCUUUGUUGUUACUGUUUUGUUGUAUUAAAAUGAUGAAAUUUAUAAUGAUGAAGUUUAAUAUCUUUGCUGAGGGUAACGGUAACGAUUUGUGAUUGGGUGGGAAUGCCAAGAAGCAGAGAAGGGAAAUGUCAUUGGUAACAAACCACAGCAUUAACAAAUCCAAGUCAAAUUACAAAAGGUUUUUUAUAGGGUCCAGUGUAUGGAGAGUUAAAGGUGGCCUGAUGAUCUAUUGAUGGUAUCCCAAAAGUAAGGUUGAUAAUUUAAAGGAUUUUUGAGCCGAACGGGCAACAACGGUUUUGGAUAAACCUUUGCCAAACCGGCCAAUGGUUUGGCGGUUCCGUUUUGACGGUUUGGUGGUCAAAGCAGUUCGGUAUUCAGGGUUUUGGCCCACCAUUUUCUUUUGUUUUUUAAAAACUAAUUGUGCCUCAGCAGCAGCACCACACUGCACACCCGCAACAGCGGCUGCGCGGCUGAUAUUGUAGAAGGUGUGAUUAAAAAACUAUUUGAAGGACAUAAUCUGAAAUAUGUGGAACAUAUCAAUAAAAAAGAAAACAUUUUCCUGCCUUCAGCUUGAUGUCAAAGGUUGUUGCAGUGUGUAUGCUUCUUUUGACAAAUAUACAUAAGUAGAACGACUUGAAGGUGAUAGUAGAUACCGUGCUGGACCACAUGGGUUACAGGAUGCAGAGAAGCGUUUCAUGUUCAUUGAUUUCCCCCUGUUUAUCAACUUCAGUUAAAGCGUUUUGAAUAUGAUUCCAUUCGAGAUACAAUGGUGAAGAUAAACAACCGUUAUAAAUUCCUCCUGCGACUUGAUCUUGAUAGAGAGGAUGGAAAGUACUUAUCACCCCUAGCAGACAGAAGUUUGCGCAAUCUUUACACUCUUCACAGUGUUUUGGUUCACAGUGGGGGAGCACAUGACGGGUAAUUAUGAUCACGUGAAGGACAACAGUGGGGGUCGGUUGAGUAUAGUCAGUUGGCUGAUGUAGCAACAAUAAGUAGUAAGUGCUAGGAACUAUGAAGUGGGAGUAUGACUACUAAGAAAACGUUAACACGAUGAUUAUUUAACUCGCAUGAAGAUUGUGAAAGAGAUUCAUGAACACAAUGAAGUUUUGAGCUUUUAUUCAUACACUUGUUAGUUUAUUUGGGUUAUAUGUUUGAUCAUUAGACUUAGAUCGACACUUAUUAGCCAUUUGGAUUGAACUUUUAAUUGAAGUGAUUAUUUUAUGAUUUCUACA